Molecule: ribosomal RNA, 1838 nt
Filed under: marine metagenome
Description: bacterial LSU rRNA
Rfam family: Bacterial large subunit ribosomal RNA
Source: RNAcentral
UCAAGCGUUUAAGGGCGUGUAGUGGAUGCCUUGGCACUGAAAGCCGAUGAAGGACGUGAUAUACUGCGAUAAGUUUCGGGGAGCUGUAUGUAAGCUUUGAUCCGAAAAUUUCCGAAUGGGGAAACCCACCACUUUAUGUGGUACUUUAAACUGAAUACAUAGGUUUAAAGAGACAACCUGGAGAACUGAAACAUCUAAGUAACCAGAGGAAAAGAAAUCAAUUGAGAUUCCGUUAGUAGUGGCGAGCGAACGCGGAGUAGGCCAGUAGUUUUGUUAGAAAAAUUUGAAUAGUUUGGAAAUGCUAACCAUAGAGGGUGAUAGUCCCGUAUGAGUAAUGUCUAACAAAAUUCUUGAGUAAAGCGGGACACGAGAAAUCCUGCUCGAAUAUAGGGGGACCACCCUCUAAGCCUAAAUACUCUUCAGUGACCGAUAGUGAACUAGUACCGUGAGGGAAAGGUGAAAAGAACCCCUAUUAGGGGAGUGAAAUAGAACCUGAAACUGCAUGCCUACAAUCAGUCCGAGCCCUUUUUAGGGUGAGGGCGUACCUUUUGUAUAAUGGGUCAGUGACUUAAUUUAUUAAGCAAGCUUAAGCCAUCUAGGUGUAGGCGCAGCGAAAGCAAGUCUUAAUAGGGCGAUUAGUUUAAUGAAUUAGACCCGAAAACGAAUGAGCUUACCAUGAGCAGGUUGAAAGUUGGGUAACACCAACCGGAGGACCGAACCAGUUGACGUUGAAAAGUCUUUGGAUGACUUGUGGUAAGGGGUGAAAGGCCAACCAAAUUCGUAGAUAGCUGGUUUUCCGCGAAAACUAUUUAGGUAGUGCGUCGAAUAAAUAGAUGUUUAGAGGUAGAGCACUAAAUGGGCUAGGGGGAAGAGAUUCUUACCAAACCUAAUAAAACUCCGAAUGCUAGACAUUGUUCUUCGGCAGACAGACUGUGGGUGCUAAGGUCCAUGGUCGAGAGGGAAAGAGCCCAGACCACCAGAUAAGGUCCCAAAAUCAUGAUUAAGUGUGAAAGGAUGUGGAAAUUCCUUAACAGCCGGGAGGUUGGCUUAGAAGCAGCCAUCCUUUAAAGAUAGCGUAACAGCUCACCGGUCUAAUAGAGUUUCUGCGCCGAAGAUGUAACGGGGCUAAAAUCAUGUACCGAAUCUGUGGGUGUAUAAAGUUUUCGAAUUUUAUACGCGGUAGCGGAACGUUCUGUAAGCCUGCGAAGGGAUACCCGUGAGGGAUCCUGGAGGUAUCAGAAGUGCGAAUGCUGACAUAAGUAACGAUAAACGAAGUGAAAAACUUCGUCGCCGAAAAUCUAAGGGUUUCUAUGCAAGGUUAAUCCGCGUAGAGUUAGUCGGCACCUAAGGCGAGGGCGAAAGCCGUAGUCGAUGGAAACAAGGUUAAUAUUCCUUGACCUGAUGGUAGUGACGGAUUUCGUAAGUUGUGAGUUCUUAAUGGAUUGAACUUGCCGCGAAGAGGUCCCAAGAAAUAGCUCCAUCAUGAAGACCGUACCCGAAACCGACACAGGUAGAUUAAUAGAGUAUAUUUAGGCGCUUGAGAGAAUGAUGUUGAAGGAACUCGGCAAAAUGCUUCCGUAACUUCGGGAUAAGGAAGACCCUUUUGUAGGCAACUAUAGAAGGGUGGCACAAGCCAGGGAGAAGCGACUGUUUAUCAAAAACACAGGGCUCUGCUAACACGUAAGUGGAUGUAUAGGGUCUGACGCCUGCCCGGUGCUGGAAGGUUAAUGCGGUUGGUGCAAGCUAACUUCUGAAGCCCCAGUAAACGGCGGCCGUAACUAUAACGGUCCUAAGGUAGCGAAAUUCCUUGUCGGGUAAGUUCCGACCUGCACGAAUGG